This 253-nucleotide ribosomal RNA is filed under the name uncultured bacterium. RNAcentral describes it as "partial 16S ribosomal RNA". It matches the Rfam family "Bacterial small subunit ribosomal RNA", at positions 524 to 776 of the family's 1533-position model. The record is from RNAcentral.
UCCGUAGGGUGCAAACGUUAUCCGGAUUUAUUGGGCGUAAAGAGCUCGUAGGCGGUUUUGUAAGUUGGAUAUUAAAGACCCAGGCUCAACUUGGGGAAAGUAUCCAAAACUGCAAGACUAGAGUGAUGCAGGGGAGAACUGAACUUACGGUGUAGCGGUGGAAUGCGUAGAUAUCGUAAGGAACGCCAAUGGUGAAGACAGUUCUCUGGGCAUUUUCUGACGCUGAGGAGCGAAAGCGUGGGUAGCGAUCGGG